UACGAAGGAUGCAAGCGUUAUCCGGAAUUAUUGGGUUUAAAGGGUGCGUAGGCGGACUAAUAAGUCAGUGGUGAAAGCCUGCAGCUUAACUGCAGAAUUGCCGUUGAUACUGUUAGUCUUGAGUACAGUUGAGGUAGGCGGAAUGUGUCAUGUAGCGGUGAAAUGCUUAGAUAUGACACAGAACACCGAUUGCGAAGGCAGCUUGCUAAGCUGUAACUGACGCUGAGGCACGAAAGCGUGGGGAGCAAACAGGAUUAGAAACCCUAGUAGUCC
RNAcentral lists this ribosomal RNA (273 nucleotides) under uncultured prokaryote. RNAcentral's name for it is "partial 16S ribosomal RNA". It matches the Rfam family "Bacterial small subunit ribosomal RNA", at positions 524 to 796 of the family's 1533-position model. The record is from RNAcentral.